GAUGAACGCUGGCGGCGCGCCUAACACAUGCAAGUCGAACGGCACCCCUCUCCGGAGGGAAGCGAGUGGCGAACGGCUGAGUAACACGUGGAGAACCUGCCCCCUCCCCCGGGAUAGCCGCCCGAAAGGACGGGUAAUACCGGAUACCCCGGGGUGCCGCAUGGCACCCCGGCUAAAGCCCCGACGGGAGGGGAUGGCUCCGCGGCCCAUCAGGUAGACGGCGGGGUGACGGCCCACCGUGCCGACAACGGGUAGCCGGGUUGAGAGACCGACCGGCCAGAUUGGGACUGAGACACGGCCCAGACUCCUACGGGAGGCAGCAGUGGGGAAUCUUGCGCAAUGGGGGGAACCCUGACGCAGCGACGCCGCGUGCGGGACGGAGGCCUUCGGGUCGUAAACCGCUUUCAGCAGGGAAGAGUCAAGACUGUACCUGCAGAAGAAGCCC
Molecule: ribosomal RNA, 445 nt
Filed under: uncultured bacterium
Lineage: Bacteria
Description: bacterial SSU rRNA
Rfam family: Bacterial small subunit ribosomal RNA
Source: RNAcentral